This 940-nucleotide long non-coding RNA is filed under the name Daphnia magna. RNAcentral describes it as "uncharacterized LOC116925641, transcript variant X5". The record is from RNAcentral. Lineage: Eukaryota; Metazoa; Arthropoda; Branchiopoda; Diplostraca; Daphniidae.
UACUGGCUGUUAACUUGUGUUAAAAAUCAAACGCUUGGAACAUGGAACAUGGGAAAGAUUGUAAAAAUAUUUUUAAGGAAAAACCUAAAGCUGGAGGAUGAUGCAUUUGUUUCUCGUUACUAGUUUUGUCAACAAAAGGUAAAUUGGUAAAAUGAAACAACAAAUGACCUAUUGCUUUAGAUCAAUUGUUUUCACAAAUGAAGAUUUAUUCCACAGUCUUCAGCUUCACAGGCAGACACCCAUCCACAAAACCAUUGGGUGGUAGAUGAUAUAAAAAUUUAUUAAUAAAAAAAAUUUAUACUUUAGGUUAUUUAUCACAGAGUCAGAGAACAACAUGUGGAAUCUGAUAUUCUAGCCCUGGAAACUGCAGGUGCCUUUCUGCUUCAACAAGGCUAUAAAGCAUUUAUAAUUUCAGGAGAAUCAUAGAAGUGUAUUCAAAUGUUCAGGGUUGAAUCGGUGAAAUGGUUGAGCCAAAAAAGAACUUCAUAUUACUUUUGAACACGUCCUAACUCAGUGUACGCGGUUGAUGCCCCACUAUACGACCCAGCAAGCUUUAGGCUGCGGUCUUCCAGUGCUGGGAAUUUGUUAUGGCAAGCAAAUACUCAACAAGGAGUUAGGUGGAACGGUGGAGAGAAAAGAUGUUCGCGAUGGGCAAUUCAAGAUCCAAGUAGAAACGGAGUGCCCAUUGUUUAAAGGCUUAGAGACUCGGUAAAUGGUAUUACUGACCUAUGGUGCCAGCGUAGACAAGGUUGCAGAAGGGUUGCGUUGCGUCGCAAAAUCUUCGCGUCAUAUUAUUUCCGCUAUUGCUGAUAUUACUGAGUCCAGUUCCAUGAUUUGACUGAAAACGGACGAAAAAUGUUGCAUAACUUCUUAUUCGAUAUCUGUGGACUCACAUUGGGGAAACGCCCUUUAAAUUAUUAUUACAAGUGUGAACAAGUUA